AGGGUGCAGGGCGGAUGCCUUGGCACUAGGAGCCGAUGAAGGACGUGAUAAGCUGCGAUAAGCUUCGGGGAGUUGCACGUAAACUUUGAUCCGAAGAUUUCCGAAUGAGGAAACUCACUUAGAGUAAUGUCUAAGUAUCAUUAAGUGAAUACAUAGCUUAAUGAGGGGAACUCAGGGAACUGAAACAUCUAAGUACCUGAAGGAAGAGAAAGAAAUUCGAUUCCGUAAGUAGCGGCGAGCGAACGCGGAUUAGCCCAAACCAAUAAAGUUUUCUUUAUUGGGGUUGCGGACAUAUCAUAACGAAGAGGUAUCGUAAUUGAAGAGGUUUGGAAAGACCCACCACAGAAGGUAAUAGUCCUGUAUGUUAAACGAGAAGACUUUAGAUAUGAUCCAGAGUACCACGGGACACGUGAAACCCUGUGGGAAGCAGGAGGGACCACCCUCCAAGGCUAAAUACUACCUAGUGACCGAUAGCGUAUAGUACCGUGAGGGAAAGGUGAAAAGAACCCCGGGAGGGGAGUGAAAUAGAACCUGAAACCCUGCACUUACAAGCUGUGGAAGCACAUUUCUUGUGUGACCGCGUACUUUUUGUAGAACGGGCCAACGAGUUACGUUAAGUAGCAAGGUUAAGCACUUAAGGUGUGGAGCCGUAGCGAAAGCGAGUUUUAACUGAGCGUUCAGUUACUUGACGUAGACCCGAAACCGGGCGACCUACCCAUGAGCAGGAUGAAGCGAAAGUAAAAUUUCGUGGAGGUCCGAACCCACGAGCGUUGAAAAGCUCGGGGAUGACUUGUGGGUAGCGGUGAAAUUCCAAUCGAGCCCGGAGAUAGCUGGUUCUCCCCGAAAUAGCUUUAGGGCUAGCCUCAAGGUGAGAGAUACGGAGGUAGAGCACUGAAUGUCCUAGGGGGUAUUGCACCUACCGAAGACUAUCAAACUCCGAAUGCCGUCAUCUUAUACUUGGGAGUCAGACUGUGGGUGAUAAGAUUCAUAGUCGAAAGGGCAACAGCCCAGAUCGUCAGCUAAGGUCCCUAAAUGUAAGUUAAGUGGUAAAGGAUGUGGGAUUGCACAGACAACCAGGAUGUUGGCUUAGAAGCAGCCACUCAUUCAAAGAGUGCGUAAUAGCUCACUGGUCGAGUGAUCCUGCGCCGAAGAUUUCCGGGGCUAAAACUUACUACCGAAGCUACGGCAUCAGUAAUGAUGGGUAGGGGAGCUUCCCAUACGGGUUGAAGCAUGACCGUAAGGACAUGUGGACAGUAUGGGAGUGAGAAUGUUGGCAUGAGUAGCGAGAUGUGGGUGAGAAUCCCACAGGCCGUAAACCCAAGGUUUCCAGGGGAAGGUUCGUCCGCCCUGGGUUAGUCGGGACCUAAGCUGAGGCCGAAAGGCGUAGGUGAUGGACAACAGGUUGAUAUUCCUGUACUACCGAUAACCGUUUGAGAGAAGGGAUGACACAGUAGGAUAAGCUAAGCACACUGUUGGUUAUGUGUGCCCAAGCAUUGAGGCAGUCAAAGUAGGCAAAUCCGCUUUGAUAAUGCUGGGAUGUGAUGGGGAGCGAAAUUUAGUAGCGAAGUAGCUGAUUUCACACUGUCAAGAAAAGUCUCUAUCGAGGUUAAAGGUACCCGUACCGCAAACCGACACAGGUGGGUGAGGAGAGUAUCCUAAGGCCAGCGAGAGAACUGUUGUUAAGGAACUCGGCAAAAUGACCCCGUAACUUAGGGAUAAGGGGUGCCACCAUCAGGUGGCCGCAGAGAAUAGGCCCAAGCGACUGUUUACCAAAAACAUAGGUUUCUGCUAAGUCGCAAGACGAUGUAUAGGAGCUGACGCCUGCCCGGUGCUGGAAGGUUAAGGGGAUCUGUUAGAGCAAUCGAAGCAGUGAACUUAAGCCCCAGUAAACGGCGGCCGUAACUAUAACGGUCCUAAGGUAGCGAAAUUCCUUGUCGGGUAAGUUCCGACCCGCACGAAAGGCGUAACGAUUUGGGCACUGUCUCAACAACAGACUCGGUGAAAUUGUAAUUCCGGUGAAGAUGCCGGAUACCUGCGACAGGACGGAAAGACCCCAUGGAGCUUUACUGUAGCUUGACAUUGGGUCUUGGUACUACAUGUACAGGAUAGGUGGGAGGCUUUGAAACCAGGACGCCAGUUUUGGCGGAGCCAUCCUUGGGAUACCACCCUUGUAGUACUGGGACUCUAACCAUAGGCCAUGAAUCUGGUCUUGGGACACUGUCAGGUGGGCAGUUUGACUGGGGCGGUCGCCUCCCAAAAGGUAACGGAGGCGCUCAAAGGUUCUCUCAGUACGGUCGGAAAU
This 2302-nucleotide ribosomal RNA is filed under the name Clostridioides difficile. RNAcentral describes it as "bacterial LSU rRNA". It matches the Rfam family "Bacterial large subunit ribosomal RNA", at positions 14 to 2338 of the family's 2925-position model. Lineage: Bacteria; Bacillati; Bacillota; Clostridia; Peptostreptococcales; Peptostreptococcaceae. The record is from RNAcentral.